UUCAUUUAAUAACUAUAUUAUUAUAAGAAUUAAAAUUAAAUACAGCAAAUGAAAUUAACCUCAAAAUGUGAACUCAAAUAUCCCCAGAAGAGCCAAACCACAAUGCCUUCCAAUCAUUUUUCACUUGAGACAAAAAAAAAAAAAUCAAUAAAAUAAAAUAAUUCAACAAGUUGAAAUCUUCAAUCAUUUUCCUCUCUAUGAAUGCUUGCAAUCCUUUUUAAGUUGAAGCCAGUACUUGCAUUUCCUAAAUUCCUAGCAAAUUAUCCUCUCUCUUGUGCUUAGCUUAGCCCUCUUCUCCUUCAAACAAUAAAGACGACACCCUUUGCUUCCUCUCUCUCACAUACACAUAAACAGCCCUCUGUCUCUUAAGCUUUUGAUGUUUCCUUAAAAUCCUUCCACAAGGACACAAGACACAGUUUGUUGUCUUUCUUCUCUCCCUUGCAUGCAACAGAGUUCUCUGCUUUACUUGCCGCUUUUACAAUGAAGUAUAUAAGAGCCAACAGCUUGAAAAGGCUUUUCUCAUUAAAAAGACGUGGACUUGAAGAAGGAAUCGCCAUUGAUGAAGACAAGAAUGGAAUCUCUAACUGUAAGUUUGUUCAAGAACCAGAGCAUUCUUCAAGACCCGGUUGGAGAUGUUUCUCCUAUCAAGAAAUAUUUGAGGCCACAAAUGGUUUUAGCCCAGGUUUUUAUAUGUCUAUGCAGAUUUAUAUUUCUCUUAUUUGUGUCAUUUUUUUGUUCUCAAAUUUAGUUUUUGUUAUGUGGGUUUCAGAGAACCUGGUGGGAAAAGGAGGAUAUGCAGAGGUUUACAGGGGAGUGUUAAGAGAUGGAGAAAAGAUUGCAAUAAAAAGGCUAACAAGAGCUGGUAAUGAUGAGAGGAAAGAGAAGGAGUUCCUGACAGAGAUUGGUACAAUUGGUCAUGUAUCUCAUCCCAAUGUGUUGUCUCUUCUAGGAUGUUGCGUUGAUAAUGGGCUUUAUCUCAUCUUCAAUUACUCCUCCAGAGGCUCUGUUGCUUCCCUUCUCCAUGGUAAUCAGAGCAACUAAUAUACCCUAUACCCAGUUUGAUUCCUUCCUGGGUUUUGUUUGUUUUGCAAUGUUUUGAUAUCUUGUGCUCUUAAAUUUGGUUUUUCAGAUGAGAAACUUCCAGUUAUGGAUUGGAAAACAAGAUACAAGAUUGCCAUUGGAACUGCCAGAGGGCUCCAUUACUUGCACAAGGGAUGUCAAAGAAGGAUCAUUCACCGAGAUAUUAAAUCUUCAAAUAUUCUUUUGACAGCUGAUUUUGAGCCACUGAUUUCUGAUUUUGGAUUGGCAAAAUGGCUUCCAUCUCAAUGGACUCACCAUUCAAUCGCUCCAAUUGAAGGAACAUUUGGGCAUUUAGCACCUGAGUACUAUUUGCAUGGAGUGGUAGAUGAGAAGACAGAUGUUUUUGCAUUUGGAGUCUUUCUGCUAGAACUUAUUUCUGGCAGGAGACCAGUUGAUGGCUCUCACCAAAGCAUAUGCAGCUGGGCUAAACCAAUAUUGAAACAAGGAGAAACUGAAGAGGUGGUAGAUCCAAGGCUUGGAGGGGCCUAUGAUGCUUCACAGCUGAUAAGACUUGCCUUUGCUGCAUCUCUUUGUAUCCGAGCAUCUUCGACGUGGCGCCCUACCAUGAGUGAGGUAUUGGAAGUAAUGCAAGAGGGGGAAAUGGACAAAGAAAGGUGGAAAAUGCCAAUGGAAGAAGAACAAGAAGAAGAAUUCUGGGGAUUUGAAGAUCUAGAAUGUGAAUGUGAUAGCUCCUUCUCAAUUUCUCCACACGAUUCAAUCUCGACAAAAAGUUCUUUAACCGUGAUGCAUUAGGGAAGCAGCCAUAUUUUACCAGCACGGAAUUGCAGAUGAGGUCUCGAGUUCUAGUCUCAGACCGUCUUUAAAGAAAAGAAAAGACUUGUAAUGCAUUAGGUGCUCAAGUAAAUCCUGACCAACGCAUUAUGCGGCUUGUAAAUACAUCAUAUAUGUUACAUAAAAGAAGUCUUUUUAGUUGCAAUCCUCAUUGAUUUAUGCAUGACAUGAUUUUACUGCUUUUAGAACUUGA
RNAcentral lists this unclassified non-coding RNA (2065 nucleotides) under Hevea brasiliensis (rubber tree). The record is from RNAcentral. Lineage: Eukaryota; Viridiplantae; Streptophyta; Magnoliopsida; Malpighiales; Euphorbiaceae.